Molecule: ribosomal RNA, 440 nt
Filed under: uncultured bacterium
Lineage: Bacteria
Description: partial 16S ribosomal RNA
Rfam family: Bacterial small subunit ribosomal RNA
Source: RNAcentral
CCUACGGGAGGCUGCAGUGGGGAAUAUUGCACAAUGGGGGCAACUCUGAUGCAGCGACGCCGCGUGCGUGAAGAAGUCUUUCGGUAUAUAAAGCUCUAUCAGCAGGGAAGUAAAUGACGGUACCUGAUUAUGAAGCCCCGGCUAACUACGUGCCAGCAGCCGCGGUAAUACGUAGGGGGCCAGCGUUAUCCGGAUUUACUGGGUGUAAAGGGAGCGUAGACGGCAGCACAAGUCUGGAGUGAAAUGCCGGGGCUUAACCCCGGAACUGCUUUGGAAACUGUGCAGCUAGAGUGCAGGAGAGGUAAGUGGAAUUCCUAGUGUAGCGGUGAAAUGCUUAGAUAUUAGGAGGAACACCAGUGGCGAAGGCGGCUUACUGUACUGUAACUGACGUUGAGGCUCGAAAGCGUGGGGAGCAAACAGGAUUAGAUACCCGAGUAGUC